GCAUUAUUGGUCUAAAGGCUAUGAUUUCUGAUUUCCAAUCAGACGAUAUGGGUUCGAUUCCCAUAUAAUGCU
This 72-nucleotide transfer RNA is filed under the name Intestinibacter bartlettii. RNAcentral's name for it is "tRNA-Gly". It matches the Rfam family "tRNA". From Rfam's summary of the family: Transfer RNA (tRNA) molecules are approximately 80 nucleotides in length. Their secondary structure includes four short double-helical elements and three loops (D, anti-codon, and T loops). Further hydrogen bonds mediate the characteristic L-shaped molecular structure. tRNAs have two regions of fundamental functional importance: the anti-codon, which is responsible for specific mRNA codon recognition, and the 3' end, to which the tRNAs corresponding amino acid is attached (by aminoacyl-tRNA synthetases). tRNAs cope with the degeneracy of the genetic code in two manners: having more than one tRNA (with a specific anti-codon) for a particular amino acid; and 'wobble' base-pairing, i.e. permitting non-standard base-pairing at the 3rd anti-codon position. The record is from RNAcentral. RNAcentral also lists the same sequence under 1 other name. Lineage: Bacteria; Bacillati; Bacillota; Clostridia; Peptostreptococcales; Peptostreptococcaceae.